CGAACUCAGCGGCAGGCGACAGGGAACUUAGUGCAGGAUAUAAUCUUGGCUGUCGUAUUGCCUAAAAAGCAUUGCAUAGCAAGGGCCGGGCAAGACCGGUGCCAGCCGCCGCGGUAACACCGGCGGCUCGAGUGGUAACCGUUAUUAUGGGUCUAAAGGGUCUGUAGCCGGCUGGAUAAGUCUCUUGGGAAAUCCGGCAGCUCAACUGUCGGGCUUCCAGGAGAUACUGUCCGGCUCGAGACCGGGAGAGGUGAGAGGUACUUCAGGGGUAGGGGUGAAAUCUUGUAAUCCUUGAAGGACCACCAGUGGCGAAGGCGUCUCACCAGAACGGAUCUGACGGCAAGGGACGAAAGCUAGGGGCACGAACCGGAUUAGAUACCCGGGUAGUCCUAGCCGUAAACGAUACUCGCUAGGUGUCGGCCACGGUGCGACCGUGGUCGGUGCCGUAGGGAAGCCGUGAAGCGAGCCACCUGGGAAGUACGGCCGCAAGGCUGAAACUUAAAGGAAUUGGCGGGGGAGCACUACAACGGGUGGAGCUUGCGGUUUAAUUGGAUUCAACGCCGGAAAUCUCACCGGGACCGACAGCGAUAUGAAGGCCAGGCUGAAGACCUUGCCGGAUUAGCUGAGAGGUGGUACAUGGCCGUCGUCAGUUCGUACUGUGAAGCAUCCUGUUAAGUCAGGCAACGAGCGAGACCCACGCCCACAGUUGCCAGCGUACUCUCCGGAGUGACGGGUACACUGUGGGGACCGCCGCCGCUAAAGCGGAGGAAGGAAUGGACAACGGUAGGUCAGUAUGCCCCGAAUAUCCCGGGCUACACGCGAGCUACAAUGGUUGGUACAAUGGGUAUCUACCCCGAAAGGGGACGGAAAUCUCCUAACGCCAAUCUUAGUUCGGAUUGAGGGCUACUCCCCGGCAUGAAGCUGAAUCCGUAUAACCCAGCAGUGUCGUAACUCCCCCCUUUUUU
RNAcentral lists this ribosomal RNA (965 nucleotides) under uncultured archaeon. Its description in RNAcentral is "bacterial SSU rRNA". It matches the Rfam family "Archaeal small subunit ribosomal RNA", at positions 351 to 1323 of the family's 1478-position model. The record is from RNAcentral.